RNAcentral lists this ribosomal RNA (253 nucleotides) under uncultured bacterium. Its description in RNAcentral is "partial 16S ribosomal RNA". It matches the Rfam family "Bacterial small subunit ribosomal RNA", at positions 524 to 776 of the family's 1533-position model. The record is from RNAcentral.
UACGGCGGGGGCUAGCGUUGUUCGGAAUUACUCGGCGUAAAGGGCGAGUAGGCGGGCGAUCAAGUCAGGGGUGAAAGGCAUGGGCUCAACCUGGGAAUUGCCUUUGAAACUGAUUGUCUAGAGUCCGGAAGAGGAUGGCGGAAUUCCCAGUGUAGAGGUGAAAUUCGUAGAUAUUGGGAAGAACACCAGUGGAGAAGGCGGCCAUCUGGUUCGGUACUGACGCUGAGGCGCGAAAGCGUGGGGAGCAAACAGG